RNAcentral lists this long non-coding RNA (924 nucleotides) under Brassica napus (rape). Its description in RNAcentral is "long non-coding RNA (BNAP_LNC005301)". The record is from RNAcentral. Lineage: Eukaryota; Viridiplantae; Streptophyta; Magnoliopsida; Brassicales; Brassicaceae.
CAGUCUGAAAAUCAGGAAUUAUGAUCCGACGACAAACCACUCGAACAAAAAAAACCAAUUCUAACGGUUCCUAAACUAGCUUUGCUCAACAUGUCAAUCCGACGCAUUCUGCUAGUUCGUAAGAAAUUCAAGAUCGUUCUCAACCUUUAACGUGAACUUCGGGGAAGCAAGAUUUACCUCGUUUACUCGGAUGUCGGGACUCCCCAAGAUAUUUCCGGAGUAGCUUUCUGUCGAACUUAUCGAGGUUGUAAUCUUUACUGUCAAUUAAGUGCUUGUAAAUAGAAAGUGGAUAGAUCGGAGACAAAUCACCUUAGCGAGACUUUGAGAACGCUGCUAUACAACCACAACCAACGCCAAUAAAGAGCAAGAAGUGGUAAUGACUCAGCGCAGAGCCUCACAUCCUCUAUAGCGGAUGACGAAACUGAAGCUGACUCUCAACCACAGACAUAAAUAAGGCGGCAGCAGAGCAAGGACGGAGUACGAGCAAAGGACAAGCAAGACAAGGGAGGAGAGAAACUGGCGUCAGCUGGACACCAGAGCGAUAUCAAAUUUGGUUUCGUUUUUUGAGAGGAUAAGUCGAAGGAGAGAGAGAGAGAUACUAUAUAUAUAUAUAUAUAUUGUUGUUAUGAGAGUAUUGUAAUAUAACCUAGAAUUCUUAGCAACUCUCCUUUUUUCUCAUACUAAUGAUAUUAUCGAAUCUACUUUGUUUUUGAAGGCAAAUCUCAAACUGCUUUCUUUCUGUUUAAUGCACCUAAAUAAAGCUCAAUGAGCUAUCUUUUCUUCAAUAAAUAUAUAAUCUUUUUUUUUAGUUUAAAUUUGCUAUCAUUUACAAUCUUUUCUAGACUUCAGAUUUAUAAAGAUAAUAAAAAUUAGGAACAUUUUGAGGCUUCGACUCGUAUUAAUAUUCACCUAUGUGAUAUGCUC